AAUGGGGUCAUCUGAUAUAUCAAAUUGAAGGUCUUAAUAAACUCUACUUAAAAAUGAAAAUUUUAAACCCCUUUUCAUCCCAGGGGGACGGGUGGGGUCAUUUAGUGCAAACAUUCAAAUUUCUCAGAUGGUAAGGUUGUCGCAUAUCAAAUGAAAGAACAUAAAGCGUACAUUUCAAAUUUCAAAUUGACGUCUCCCAAAAAAUGGGUUGGAUGGGGUCAUUGAGUGCAAAAAAUAAAUGUUCUUUUAAGGUAGGGUUGUUGUGUAUCAAAUGAAAGGUCAUGAUUUGUACAUUUUAAAUAUCAAAUUCCCGACCUCCAAAAAUUUGUUGGAUAGGGUUAUUAAGUGCAAAAAUCAAACUUUCAAGAACAUGGUGUUGUCGCAUAUCAAACGAAAGCUCAUCUACUCUGUUCCAUAUUUCAUAAUUCCGAUCUCAAAAAUGUAGACGGAUGAGGUCAUUAAGUGUAAAAAGCGAAAAGUUUCAGAAGGUGUGCUUGUCGUAUAUCAAACGAAAGGUCGUACAAAGUACAAUACGAAAACAUCACUUUUACAGGAAAGACCUUUCAAUUGUUUUACAAACAAUUGAGAUACUAUUUUCUUUUUCUUUUUUUUCUUCCAACAUUUUUUUGACAUGCUCGCCUCUUGUUUCUGAUGAAGUUAUUAAGACCAAAUAUGGACCAUUGCUAGACCUCACCAAGAUGUAUUACCAAAUGACCCUGUUAAGGAUUUCAUCAUCCCCUUUAGGAGUUAUUUCCCUUUUAUUGAUUUUUUUCAACAUUGUCCCCCCUCGUUGGUUUUAAAGAUAUCAUGACGUUAAUUGGACAUAAUGUAGAUCUCAUCAUGAUGUAUUACCAUGUGAGGCUGAAGUGGAUUCCAUCGUCCCCUAUGAGAGUUAUAUCCCCUUGAAACAAUUUCUUUCCUUUGCAUUUUUCUCAAAAAGUAUAAGAGAUAGAAUCGAUUUGAAAAGGACAACAUGUACAGGAAUAGAUGGCAAUGUUAAUGAACAUGUACAAUCAUUUUGUUACUAACCCUUAUAAGGAGUUAUUCCCCUUGAAAAAUUGUACAUAAUUUUAGAAAAAUU
RNAcentral lists this long non-coding RNA (1081 nucleotides) under Mytilus galloprovincialis (Mediterranean mussel). Lineage: Eukaryota; Metazoa; Mollusca; Bivalvia; Mytilida; Mytilidae. The record is from RNAcentral.